Molecule: ribosomal RNA, 463 nt
Filed under: Vreelandella stevensii
Lineage: Bacteria; Pseudomonadati; Pseudomonadota; Gammaproteobacteria; Oceanospirillales; Halomonadaceae
Description: partial 16S ribosomal RNA
Rfam family: Bacterial small subunit ribosomal RNA
Source: RNAcentral
CCUACGGGUGGCUGCAGUGGGGAAUAUUGGACAAUGGGCGAAAGCCUGAUCCAGCCAUGCCGCGUGUGUGAAGAAGGCCUUCGGGUUGUAAAGCACUUUCAGUGGGGAAGAAAGCCUUGGGGCUAAUACCCUCGAGGAAGGACAUCACCCACAGAAGAAGCACCGGCUAACUCCGUGCCAGCAGCCGCGGUAAUACGGAGGGUGCGAGCGUUAAUCGGAAUUACUGGGCGUAAAGCGCGCGUAGGCGGUCUGAUAAGCCGGUUGUGAAAGCCCCGGGCUCAACCUGGGAACGGCAUCCGGAACUGUCAGGCUAGAGUGCAGGAGAGGAAGGUAGAAUUCCCGGUGUAGCGGUGAAAUGCGUAGAGAUCGGGAGGAAUACCAGUGGCGAAGGCGGCCUUCUGGACUGACACUGACGCUGAGGUGCGAAAGCGUGGGUAGCAAACAGGAUUAGAUACCCGUAGUC